This is a long non-coding RNA of Oreochromis aureus, 422 nucleotides long. RefSeq lists it as uncharacterized. The record is from RefSeq and is a predicted model, not a curated record. The transcript is spliced from 3 exons. Lineage: Eukaryota; Metazoa; Chordata; Actinopteri; Cichliformes; Cichlidae.
AGAGAAGAACCAGAUUGAAGAGCUGCUGGAUUCAUUGUUUCCUCCAAAUGAAAGAAAAGUCAUUUUCAUGUGACAGAGCGACGAUGCAGUGGAGUCUGUUUCUGCUUCUUCUGAUGGGUCAGUGUGUCUUCAUCACAUGUCACCUGUAUGAGUACCACUUUAUUAAAGAAGAGAUGAGCUGGGAUGAAGCACGGGCAUACUGCAGAGAGAACUACACAGACCUGGCCAAAGUGUUUGACCUGACAGACAUGACAAGACUUCAAGACUCUGCACAGAAUCAAACAGAAGCCUGGAUUGGACUGUACAACAUCACAGGAGGAGCCAACAGGAGGUGGCACUGGUCUCUGCCGGGGGAGGAAUACACUGAAAAUAAGACCUGUUGGGGAGCUGGAGAGCCUAAUGAUCAACCAUAUCCUGAGAAC